GUUGGGCGAGGAUGAUUUGAGGAGACAUAUGUUGAAUUGAAUCAUUCGAGCAGCGGACGGGUGAGUAAAGCACAAGGACUUGUCCGAAAGAGAGGGACACCUGCGGGAAACCGGAGCUAAUACCUCAUAAGCCGGAAGGUGAAAAGCAGAGAUGCGCUUUUGGAGAGACUUGUGUCCUAUCAGGCAGUUGGUGAGGUGAAAGCUCACCAAACCGAAGACGGGUAGCCGGACUGAGAGGUCGACCGGCCACAUUGGAACUGAGAGACGGUCCAGACUCCUACGGGAGGCAGCAGUGGGGAAUAUUGGGCAAUGGGCGGAAGCCUGACCCAGCGACGCCGCGUGAGGGAAGACAGCCUUCGGGUUGUAAACCUCUGUUGCAGGGGAAGAAGGAAGUGACGGUACCCUGCGAGGAAGCUCCGGCUAACUACGUGCCAGCAGCCGCGGUAAUACGUAGGGAGCGAGCGUUGUCCGGAAUUACUGGGCGUAAAGGGCGCGUAGGCGGCGCUUCAAGUCGUCUGUCAAAUGGAAGGGCUUAACCCUUUUUCGCAGACGAAACUGGAGAGCUUGAGAAGCAGAGAGGCAAACAGAAUUCCUGGUGUAGCGGUGAAAUGCGUAGAUAUCAGGAAGAAUACCAGUGGCGAAGGCGGUUUGCUGGCUGCAUACUGACGCUGAAGCGCGAAAGCCAGGGGAGCGAACGGGAUUAGAUACCCCGGUAGUCCUGGCAGUAAACGAUGUAUGCUGGGUGUGAGACUAGCGAUAGUUUCGUGCCGAAGUUAAC
RNAcentral lists this ribosomal RNA (778 nucleotides) under uncultured bacterium. Its description in RNAcentral is "bacterial SSU rRNA". It matches the Rfam family "Bacterial small subunit ribosomal RNA", at positions 61 to 856 of the family's 1533-position model. The record is from RNAcentral.